RNAcentral lists this ribosomal RNA (253 nucleotides) under uncultured bacterium. RNAcentral's name for it is "partial 16S ribosomal RNA". It matches the Rfam family "Bacterial small subunit ribosomal RNA", at positions 524 to 776 of the family's 1533-position model. The record is from RNAcentral.
UACGUAGGGUGCAAGCGUUGUCCGGAAUUAUUGGGCGUAAAGAGCUCGUAGGCGGUUUGUUGCGUCGGGUGUGAAAGCCCUGGGCUCAACCCAGGAAGUGCACUCGAAACUGACGGGCUUGAAUAUGGAAGAGGGUCGCGGAAUUCCCGGUGUAGAGGUGAAAUUCGUAGAUAUCGGGAGGAACACCAGUGGCGAAGGCGGCGACCUGGGCCAAUAUUGACGCUGAGGUGCGAAAGCGUGGGGAGCAAACAGG